RNAcentral lists this transfer RNA (76 nucleotides) under Deltaproteobacteria bacterium. RNAcentral's name for it is "tRNA-Ala". It matches the Rfam family "tRNA". Rfam says of the family: Transfer RNA (tRNA) molecules are approximately 80 nucleotides in length. Lineage: Bacteria; Pseudomonadati; Myxococcota; Myxococcia. RNAcentral also lists the same sequence under 4 other names. The record is from RNAcentral.
GGGCCUGUAGCUCAGCUGGGAGAGCGCUAGAAUCGCACUCUAGAGGUCUCCGGUUCGAUCCCGGACAGGUCCACCA